RNAcentral lists this ribosomal RNA (429 nucleotides) under Bacteroidota bacterium. Its description in RNAcentral is "Bacteroidetes bacterium partial 16S ribosomal RNA". It matches the Rfam family "Bacterial small subunit ribosomal RNA", at positions 355 to 776 of the family's 1533-position model. The record is from RNAcentral. Lineage: Bacteria; Pseudomonadati; Bacteroidota.
UAGGGAAUCUUCCGCAAUGGACGCAAGUCUGACGGAGCAACGCCGCGUGAGUGAAGAAGGAUUUCGGUUCGUAAAACUCUGUUGUUAGAGAAGAACAGCGCAUAGAGUAACUGUUAUGCGUGUGACGGUAUCUAACCAGAAAGCCACGGCUAACUACGUGCCAGCAGCCGCGGUAAUACGUAGGUGGCAAGCGUUGUCCGGAUUUAUUGGGCGUAAAGCGAGCGCAGGCGGUCAAUUAAGUCUGAUGUGAAAGCCCCCGGCUCAACCGGGGAGGGUCAUUGGAAACUGGUUGACUUGAGUGCAGAAGAGGAGAGUGGAAUUCCGUGUGUAGCGGUGAAAUGCGUAGAUAUAUGGAGGAACACCAGUGGCGAAGGCGACUCUCUGGUCUGUAACUGACGCUGAGGCUCGAAAGCGUGGGUAGCAAACAGG